This 21-nucleotide microRNA is filed under the name Cordylochernes scorpioides. The record is from RNAcentral. Lineage: Eukaryota; Metazoa; Arthropoda; Arachnida; Pseudoscorpiones; Chernetidae.
GAUACCCAGCAUCUCCACCAG